GAUGAACGCUGGCGGCGUGCCUAACACAUGCAAGUCGAACGGAAAGACGAUGAGCUUGCGCCUUUGACGUUAGCGGCGGACGGGUGAGUAACGCGUGGAUCACCUACUUAUAAGUCGGGGAUAACUACGGAAAACCGGAGAUAAUACCGGAGCAUAUAUUGAACCGCAUGGUGCAAUGGAGAAAGACGGCUUUGCUGGCUGUUAUAGAUGGUUCCGCGCCGCAUUGGCGGGUUGGUAAGGUAACGGCUUACCAAGGCAACGAUGCGUAGCCGAUCUGAGGGGGUGAUCGGCCACCCUGGAACUGAGACACGGUCCAGACUCCUACGGGAGGCAGCAGUAGGGAAUCUUGCGCAAUGGGCGAAAGCUUGACGGAGCAACGCCGCGUGAGUGAUGAAGGUCUUCGGGUCGUAAAGCUCUGUUAUUAGGGAAGAACAAAUGUGUGAGUAUCUCUGCACGUCUUGACGGUACCUAAUCAGAAAGCCACGGCUAACUUCGUG
RNAcentral lists this ribosomal RNA (497 nucleotides) under uncultured bacterium. RNAcentral's name for it is "partial 16S ribosomal RNA". It matches the Rfam family "Bacterial small subunit ribosomal RNA", at positions 28 to 507 of the family's 1533-position model. The record is from RNAcentral.